UGGUGUAAUCAAUGUCAUUGUAGGUGGGUCGUGUGUCGGGAAGUCUGGUAACAAGAGGUUAGCAGAGGUGAGUAGCAGUAGUAGCCGAACAAUCCUCUCGGUUGAUAAGGACGAGUUGAGCAAGGAAAUCAUCACGUUCUGUCCUAGUGACCAUGAGGUAAAACAAUCACAUUCUGACCUUUUGGUGGUGUUUGUGCAGAUGAGCAAGUACACAAUACAAAGAAUGUUGAUCGAUAUGGCAAUCUCGAUCAACCUCAUCACCAAGAAGUGUUUGAGAAGCUCAGCCACGAUCAAGACGGUUUGGCAAAGGUGAUGUACUCAUUGGUUGGCCUUGGAGAUAAGAUAGAUCUUGUACUCGAAAUCGCCAAUCUGGCAGUGAUCCUGGGCAAUGAGGGGUAUAAACGUGAGAUCUAUAUAUACUUCAUGGUGGUCGACAUCCUGUUAUUAUUCAACAUUAUUCUCGGUUGCCCUCUCCUAAGUAGCAAUAGUAUCAACACUAGCAUACAAUGGUUGUGCAUGAAAUUUCCCGCCAAGGGAGGCAUAGCCAUUGUCCGAGGAAGUUAGAAGUCAGCAUAAGAGUGCUAUCAGAAGUUAACCAAAGUGGUGACAUAGGUGACUUUGUCGAUCGAGCUGCUGGAGAAAUCAGAGAGUCAAAUCUCACUAGAAC
RNAcentral lists this unclassified non-coding RNA (667 nucleotides) under Hevea brasiliensis (rubber tree). Lineage: Eukaryota; Viridiplantae; Streptophyta; Magnoliopsida; Malpighiales; Euphorbiaceae. The record is from RNAcentral.